GAUGAACGCUGGCGGCGUGCCUAAUACAUGCAAGUCGAGCGAACAGACGAGGAGCUUGCUCCUCUGACGUUAGCGGCGGACGGGUGAGUAACACGUGGAUAACCUACCUAUAAGACUGGGAUAACUUCGGGAAACCGGAUCUAAUACCGGAUAAUAUAUUGAACCGCAUGGUUCAAUAGUGAAAGACGGUUUUGCUGUCACUUAUACAUGGAUCCGCGCCGCAUUAGCUAGUUGGUAAGGUAACGGCUUACCAAGGCGACGAUGCGUAGCCGACCUGAGAGGGUGAUCGGCCACACUGGAACUGAGACACGGUCCAGACUCCUACGGGAGGCAGCAGUAGGGAAUCUUCCGCAAUGGGCGAAAGCCUGACGGAGCAACGCCGCGUGAGUGAUGAAGGUCUUCGGAUCGUAAAGCUCUGUUAUUAGGGAAGAACAAAUGUGUAAGUAACUAUGCACGUCUUGACGGUACCUAAUCAGAAAGCCACGGCUAACUACGUG
RNAcentral lists this ribosomal RNA (497 nucleotides) under uncultured bacterium. RNAcentral's name for it is "partial 16S ribosomal RNA". It matches the Rfam family "Bacterial small subunit ribosomal RNA", at positions 28 to 507 of the family's 1533-position model. The record is from RNAcentral.